UUGUCUCAAAGAUUAAGCCAUGCAUGUCUCAGUACAAGCCGAAUUAAGGUGAAACCGCGAAAGGCUCAUUAAAUCAGUUAUGGUUCCUUAGAUCGUACCCAAUCCUACUUGGAUAACUGUGGUAAUUCUAGAGCUAAUACAUGCAAACAGAGUCCUGACCGGAGACGGAAAGGACGCUUUUAUUAGAUCAAAACCAAUCGGUGGCGGGUCUCCCGUCAUCGUACACCUUGGUGACUCUGAAUAACUUUUUGCUGAUCGCACGGUCUCGCACCGGCGACGCAUCUUUCAAAUGUCUGCCUUAUCAACUGUCGAUGGUAGGUUCUGCGCCUACCAUGGUUGUAACGGGUAACGGGGAAUCAGGGUUCGAUUCCGGAGAGGGAGCCUGAGAAACGGCUACCACAUCCAAGGAAGGCAGCAGGCGCGCAAAUUACCCACUCCCGGCACGGGGAGGUAGUGACGAAAAAUAACGAUACGGGACUCAUCCGAGGCCCCGUAAUCGGAAUGAGUACACUCUAAACCCUUUAACGAGGAUCAAUUGGAGGGCAAGUCUGGUGCCAGCAGCCGCGGUAAUUCCAGCUCCAAUAGCGUAUAUUAAAGUUGUUGCGGUUAAGCAAGACGGACAGAAGCGAAAGCAUUUGCCAAAAACGUUUUCAUUGAUCAAGAACGAAAGUUAGAGGUUCGAAGGCGAUCAGAUACCGCCCUAGUUCUAACCAUAAACGAUGCCAGCUAGCGAUCCGCCGACGUUCCUCCGAUGACUCGGCGGGCAGCUUCCGGGAAACCAAAGCUUUUGGGUUCCGGGGGAAGUAUGGUUGCAAAGCUGAAACUUAAAGGAAUUGACGGAAGGGCACCACCAGGAGUGGAGCCUGCGGCUUAAUUUGACUCAACACGGGAAACCUCACCAGGCCCGGACACCGGAAGGAUUGACAGAUUGAUAGCUCUUUCUUGAUUCGGUGGGUGGUGGUGCAUGGCCGUUCUUAGUUGGUGGAGCGAUUUGUCUGGUUAAUUCCGAUAACGAACGAGACUCUAGCCUGCUAACUAGGCGCAUUUACGACAUCUCAAAGGUCCGCCGGCCCGGCGUUCGCGUCGCGGUCGAGCGCGAUUUUUACUGUCGGCGUCCAAUUAAUUCUUCUUAGAGGGACAGGCGGCAUUUAGCCGCACGAGAUUGAGCAAUAACAGGUCUGUGAUGCCCUUAGAUGUUCUGGGCCGCACGCGCGCUACACUGAAGGAAUCAGCGUGUCUUCCUAGGCCGAGCGGCCCGGGUAACCCGCUGAACCUCCUUCGUGCUAGGGAUUGGGGCUUGCAAUUGUUCCCCAUGAACGAGGAAUUCCCAGUAAGCGCGAGUCAUAAGCUCGCGUUGAUUACGUCCCUGCCCUUUGUACACACCGCCCGUCGCUACUACCGAUUGAAUGAUUUAGUGAGGUCUUCGGACCGGUACGCGGUGGCGUUUCGAUGUCGCCGAUGUUGCUGGGAAGAUGACCAAACUUGAUCAUUU
This 1492-nucleotide ribosomal RNA is filed under the name Airapus henriettae. RNAcentral describes it as "SSU rRNA". It matches the Rfam family "Eukaryotic small subunit ribosomal RNA". Lineage: Eukaryota; Metazoa; Arthropoda; Insecta; Coleoptera; Scarabaeidae. The record is from RNAcentral.